AUACGGAGGGUGCAAGCGUUGUUCGGAAUCACUGGGCGUAAAGGGCGCGCCGGCGGUUUGGUAAGUCAGAUGUGAAAGCCCACGGCUCAACCGUGGAAGUGCAUUUGAAACUGCCAGACUUGAGUACCAGAGGGGAAAGUGGAAUUCCCGGUGUAGAGGUGAAAUUCGUAGAUAUCGGGAGGAAUACCGGUGGCGAAGGCGACUUUCUGGCUGGAUACUGACGCUGAGGCGCGAAAGCGUGGGGAGCAAACAGGAUUAGAAACCCUAGUAGUCC
RNAcentral lists this ribosomal RNA (274 nucleotides) under uncultured bacterium. RNAcentral describes it as "partial 16S ribosomal RNA". It matches the Rfam family "Bacterial small subunit ribosomal RNA", at positions 523 to 796 of the family's 1533-position model. The record is from RNAcentral.